GACGAACGCUGGCGGCGUGCUUAACACAUGCAAGUCACGGGGGGCUCGCAAGAGCUAACCGGCGAACGGGUGCGUAACACGUGAACAACCUGCCCUCGUGUGGGGGAUAGCCAUGCUAACGCGUGGGUAAUACCGCAUACGUUCUUCUGGGGGGAGUCCCCGGGAGAGGAAAGCUCCGGCGCACGGGGGAGGGGUUCGCGGCCUAUCAGCUAGUUGGUGCGGUAACGGCGCACCAAGGCGACGACGGGAGCUGGUCUGAGAGGAUGGCCAGCCACAUUGGGACUGAGACACGGCCCAGACUCCUACGGGAGGCAGCAGUCGGGAAUCUUGCGCAAUGGGCGAAAGCCUGACGCAGCAACGCCGUGUGGGCGAGGAAGGCCUUC
This 383-nucleotide ribosomal RNA is filed under the name uncultured bacterium. Its description in RNAcentral is "bacterial SSU rRNA". It matches the Rfam family "Bacterial small subunit ribosomal RNA", at positions 28 to 419 of the family's 1533-position model. The record is from RNAcentral.